RNAcentral lists this ribosomal RNA (405 nucleotides) under uncultured Eubacteriales bacterium. Its description in RNAcentral is "uncultured Clostridiales bacterium partial 16S ribosomal RNA". It matches the Rfam family "Bacterial small subunit ribosomal RNA", at positions 355 to 774 of the family's 1533-position model. The record is from RNAcentral. Lineage: Bacteria; Bacillati; Bacillota; Clostridia; Eubacteriales.
UGGGGAAUAUUGGGCAAUGGGCGAAAGCCUGACCCAGCAACGCCGCGUGAAGGAAGAAGGCCUUCGGGUUGUAAACUUUUGUCCUAUGGGACGAAACAAAUGACGGUACCAUAGGAGGAAGCCCCGGCUAACUACGUGCCAGCAGCCGCGGUAAUACGUAGGGGGCAAGCGUUGUCCGGAAUUACUGGGCGUAAAGGGUGCGUAGGCGGCAAUGCAAGUCAGAUGUGAAAGACCGGGGCUCAACCCCGGGGUUGCAUUUGAAACUGUGUUGCUUGAGUGCAGGAGAGGUAAGUGGAAUUCCUAGUGUAGCGGUGAAAUGCGUAGAUAUUAGGAGGAACACCAGUGGCGAAGGCGACUUACUGGACUGUAACUGACGCUGAGGCACGAAAGCGUGGGGAGCAAACA